GCAAACUUGGUCAUUUAGAGGAAGUAAAAGUCGUAACAAGGUCUCCGUUGGUGAACCAGCGGAGGGAUCAUUACAAAACAGAGUACUCGUACUCUAUAACCCUUUGUGAACAUACCUUUGUCAGUUGCUUCGGCGGGAGGCCCCUGGGAGGGGCCCCGGGGCCCGGCCUGAGCCGGGCUCCCGCCGGAGGAGCGCAACCAAAACUCUUGCUGUACCUCAGUGGCACCUCCGAGUAAAAACAAAAAAACAAGUUAAAACUUUCAACAACGGAUCUCUUGGUUCUGGCAUCGAUGAAGAACGCAGC
RNAcentral lists this unclassified non-coding RNA (304 nucleotides) under uncultured fungus. RNAcentral describes it as "partial contains small subunit ribosomal RNA, internal transcribed spacer 1, and 5.8S ribosomal RNA". The stretch from base 1 to 73 matches the Rfam family "Eukaryotic small subunit ribosomal RNA", at positions 1759 to 1831 of the family's 1831-position model. Lineage: Eukaryota; Fungi. The record is from RNAcentral.